GGAAUAUUGGGCAAUGGGCGAAAGCCUGACCCAGCAACGCCGCGUGAGUGAAGAAGGCCUUCGGGUUGUAAAGCUCUGUUAUAGGGGACGAAGGGAGUGACGGUACCCUAUAAGGAAGCCCCGGCUAACUACGUGCCAGCAGCCGCGGUAAUACGUAGGGGGCGAGCGUUGUCCGGAAUGACUGGGCGUAAAGGGCGUGUAGGCGGCCGGAUAAGUCUGGAGUGAAAGUCCUGCUUUCAAGGUGGGAAUUGCUUUGGAUACUGUCGGGCUUGAGUGCGGAAGAGGUAAGUGGAAUUCCCAGUGUAGCGGUGAAAUGCGUAGAGAUUGGGAGGAACACCAGUGGCGAAGGCGACUUACUGGGCCGUAACUGACGCUGAGGCGCGAAAGUCGGGGGAGCAAACA
RNAcentral lists this ribosomal RNA (402 nucleotides) under uncultured bacterium. Its description in RNAcentral is "bacterial SSU rRNA". It matches the Rfam family "Bacterial small subunit ribosomal RNA", at positions 358 to 774 of the family's 1533-position model. The record is from RNAcentral.